This 677-nucleotide ribosomal RNA is filed under the name uncultured archaeon. RNAcentral's name for it is "bacterial SSU rRNA". It matches the Rfam family "Archaeal small subunit ribosomal RNA", at positions 147 to 827 of the family's 1478-position model. The record is from RNAcentral.
AUAUACCCCAUAGAUCUAGGGUGCUGGAAUGCUUCUAGGUCCAAAACUCCGGUGCCUUAGGAUUGGUCUGCGGUCUAUCAGGCAGUAGUGGGUGUAAUGGACCCACUAGCCCGUGACGGAUAUGGGCCUUGAGAGAGGGUGCCCAGAGAUGGACUCUGAGACAUGAGUCCAGGCCCUACGGGGCGCAGCAGUCGCGAAAACUUCGCAAUGGGGGAAACCCCGACGAGGGAAUUCCAAGUGCUAGCACUUUGUGUUAGCUGUUCUUCUGUCUAAAAAACAGGAGAAGUAAGGGGCGGGUAAGACGGGUGCCAGCCGCCGCGGUAAUACCCGCGCCCCGAGUGGUGGUCGAUAUUAUUGAGCCUAAAACGUCCGUAGCCGGUCUUCUAAAUCCUUGGGUAAAUCGGGCAGCUUAACUGUCCGAAUUCCGGGGAGACUGGGAGACUUGGGACCGGGAGAGGUCAGAGGUACUUCUGGGGUAGGGGUAAAAUCCUGUAAUCCUGGAAGGACCACCGGUGGCGAAGGCGUCUGACUAGAACGGAUCCGACGGUGAGGGACGAAGCCCUGGGGCGCAAACGGGAUUAGAUACCCCGGUAGUCCAGGGUGUAAACGCUGCGGGCUUGGUGUUGGGGGUCCUUAGUGGGCGCCCAGUGCCGGAGAGAAGUUGUUAAGCCUGCUGC